UGGGGAAUUUUGGACAAUGGGGGAAACCCUGAUCCAGCCAUCCCGCGUGUGCGAUGAAGGCCUUCGGGUUGUAAAGCACUUUUGGCAGGAAAGAAACGUCGCGGGUUAAUACCCCGCGGAACUGACGGUACCUGCAGAAUAAGCACCGGCUAACUACGUGCCAGCAGCCGCGGUAAUACGUAGGGUGCAAGCGUUAAUCGGAAUUACUGGGCGUAAAGCGUGCGCAGGCGGUUCGGAAAGAAAGAUGUGAAAUCCCAGAGNUUAACUUUGGGAACUGCAUUUUUUAACUACCGGGCUAGAGUNUGUCAGAGGGAGGUGGAAUUCCGCGUGUAGCAGUGAAAUGCGUAGAUAUGCGGAGGAACACCGAUGGCGAAGGCAGCCUCCUGGGAUAACACUGACGCUCAUGCACGAAAGCGUGGGGAGCAAACAGGAUUAGAUACCCUGGUAGUCCACGCCCUAAACGAUGUCAACUAGCUGUUGGGGUCUUCGGACCUUGGUAGCGCAGCUAACGCGUGAAGUUGACCGCCUGGGGAGUACGGUCGCAAGAUUAAAACUU
This 556-nucleotide ribosomal RNA is filed under the name uncultured bacterium. RNAcentral's name for it is "partial 16S ribosomal RNA". It matches the Rfam family "Bacterial small subunit ribosomal RNA", at positions 355 to 902 of the family's 1533-position model. The record is from RNAcentral.